Molecule: non-coding RNA, 26 nt
Filed under: Homo sapiens (human)
Lineage: Eukaryota; Metazoa; Chordata; Mammalia; Primates; Hominidae
Source: RNAcentral
UGAUAUUGAGGAUAAUAAAGCAUGGC